AUCGUAGCCAGCCACCAGCCCACCAGCCGCUCGCAACAGGCAGAGGAAAAAAAGGUAGCCAUCAAACCCAUCGAUUCCCCAUUCUCUCGGCUGCCUCGUCGCCUCCGACGGCGCCGCCGUUCCCCUUUCGUCUCCACCUCGCGCCCGCAGCUCACGACGCUCGCCGUCGUCGCUUCCCGGCGAGGCCAUCCACGGCAGCCGUUUCUUCUUCCCGGACGCCGCCACCGUCUCCCCACCCCCACGCGGCACAGCGUCUCGCCCUCUCUAGGGUUUUCUCGGAUCAAGAAUCGCUGUAAGCCACAUUUCCCCACCCGUGCUACUCCCGAAUCCGCAAUCCCCAUCCGAAGAUCCUUGCAACUUCCGCCCCAAGAGUCCUCGCUGCCGGCCGGCGCCACCAUCUUCUCGCAGUGCAAGCAGCCAUGCCGCUUCGUCGUCGUCGAGCUAGUGGCGUCGCAACCUUCCCCUGGAGCCAUUGUCCUGCGCCAUCUCCCCGUGGACGCGGUGCCGGCCGCAGCCGUAGUCUUCUCGUGGAUCCACCGGCCAACACCGCCACCAACCAUCUCGUCCACGGCCAUCUCCUCGCUUCUCAUGGCUGCUGCUCGUCGGCUCCUCCACACCUCUCCAAUCCACUACUUCUUCCACUCCAUGCAGUACACCUGUGAAAUGUGCCUGCUUUGACUGUUUUGUAUACAACAAUACAAGUACCCACCUCUUUCCUCUUGACAAGUACCCACCUGGUCACCUCUCCAUCAACCCCUUUCCUUCUCUCUAGGUGAGUACUAAAGGUGCACAUCAGCUAGCUAUAUAAUUUUUGGUCUUUCUUCAAUUAACAUGCAUAGAAAAGUUCUAUUAGUUUCUCUGUUAAAUUGUCUAUAUCCAACUUUACC
Molecule: long non-coding RNA, 887 nt
Filed under: Oryza sativa aus subgroup
Lineage: Eukaryota; Viridiplantae; Streptophyta; Magnoliopsida; Poales; Poaceae
Description: lncRNA OsN22_09G005070
Source: RNAcentral